This 334-nucleotide unclassified non-coding RNA is filed under the name soil metagenome. RNAcentral describes it as "partial contains 5.8S ribosomal RNA, internal transcribed spacer 2, and large subunit ribosomal RNA". The stretch from base 1 to 120 matches the Rfam family "5.8S ribosomal RNA", at positions 35 to 154 of the family's 154-position model. The record is from RNAcentral.
GAUGAAGAACGUAGCGAAAUGCGAUAAGUAAUGUGAAUUGCAGAAUUCAGUGAAUCAUCGAAUCUUUGAACGCACAUUGCGCCCAUUAGCAUUCUAGUGGGCAUGCCUGUUCGAGCGUCAUUUCAACCCUUAAGCCCUGUUGCUUAGCGUUGGGAGCCUACAGUACUGUAGCUCCCCAAAGUUAGUGGCGGAGUCGGUUUCACACUCUAGACGUAGUAAUUUUUUCUCGUCUGUAGUUGAGCCGGUCCCCUGCCGUAAAACACCCAAUUUAUCAAGGUUGACCUCGGAUCAGGUAGGAAUACCCGCUGAACUUAAGCAUAUCAAUAGCGGAAGA